Molecule: transfer RNA, 75 nt
Filed under: Mesorhizobium sp. M00.F.Ca.ET.149.01.1.1
Lineage: Bacteria; Pseudomonadati; Pseudomonadota; Alphaproteobacteria; Hyphomicrobiales; Phyllobacteriaceae
Description: tRNA-Thr
Rfam family: tRNA
About the family: Transfer RNA (tRNA) molecules are approximately 80 nucleotides in length. Their secondary structure includes four short double-helical elements and three loops (D, anti-codon, and T loops).
Source: RNAcentral
GCUGCGGUAGCUGAAUGGUAGAGCUCUCCCUUGGUAAGGGAGAGGUCGAGAGUUCAAUCCUCUCUCGCAGCACCA